CGCCUGUGAAGCAAGGAUUUUGUUGGGAAGUGCUUGCAGAGGCUCCAAUAGGGUUGUGUGGUCUCCAGGUUCCAACUUAGGCGAUAACGCUGAAAAUAAAAACACUCCUA
Molecule: non-coding RNA, 110 nt
Submitted as: unclassified sequences
Source: Rfam